CGGGCUUGCCGAGUUUCUGAACAGCAGCUACACUUUGCUGAAGAGACAAGUGAUAGAAGAUGACACCAGAGAAUGUAUAAGGGACCAGGGAGAAGCACACGAGACAAGAAAAAGGUAAAAAAGCAAAUGCCUUAGUAUUUGGCUGCAUACAGAUUCAAGGUUUUAGAAUUUAAAAAAGUGAAACAAAAUUAGAAAUUUG
Molecule: long non-coding RNA, 199 nt
Filed under: Cricetulus griseus (Chinese hamster)
Lineage: Eukaryota; Metazoa; Chordata; Mammalia; Rodentia; Cricetidae
Description: lncRNA (ENSCGRG00000026266.1)
Source: RNAcentral